RNAcentral lists this transfer RNA (59 nucleotides) under Cricetulus griseus (Chinese hamster). It matches the Rfam family "tRNA", at positions 7 to 64 of the family's 71-position model. Rfam says of the family: Transfer RNA (tRNA) molecules are approximately 80 nucleotides in length. Their secondary structure includes four short double-helical elements and three loops (D, anti-codon, and T loops). Lineage: Eukaryota; Metazoa; Chordata; Mammalia; Rodentia; Cricetidae. The record is from Rfam by way of RNAcentral.
GUAGCCCAGGGGUAGAGCACUUGCCUUGCAUGCACGAGGCCCUGGGUUUAAACCCCAGC